UUUUAAACUAGUACAUGAUUUUACACCCAAAAAAAAACACCUAGUAUAAAAUAGUAAAUGAAAAUGUCUAUUGCUUCUCUCUUUCUCUAGCGCUUUUUGUAUUAAUAUAUUUUGGUCUCUAUCUUUGAAGACUUGCACACAUAUAUAGGCAUAAUCUGUAUAGAAUUUUAUUUUAUAUACUGUUCUGCAACUUCCUUUUUUCUCACAGCAGUUUAUCAUAGGCUUUUUCUAUGCUAAUAUAUAUAAAUCUGCCUUGUUCUUUUACCUUGUUUUUAAUACCUUUUUUGUAUUCCAUUGUGGUUGUUUUUCUUCAUAAUUUAUUUAAACAAUUCUCUGUUUAUGGAUAAUGUUGAAGUGGGUAUCUUUGCACAUAUGUGUGGAUGCUAGUACAAGUCUAUCUGUGAAAUGAAUUUCUAGCAUUAAAAUUGAUAGAUCAAACAAUGUUGCACAUUCUUGCCAAAGUGCUGUUUAAAAGGACUGUGCUGAUUUAUAUUCCCAUUAACAAUAAAGAUGACUGCAUUUCUCACACCCCUACUGACCCUGGAUGCUGAUUUUUUUUAGUCAGCCAUUGAAUAGGCAAAAAUUGCAUUUUAAUUUACAUUUCUCUAGGGGUCAUUAUUUCCUUUCUUGACUAUUUACAAUUUGUUCUGUGCUUAUCCAAGUUGCUUGCUCAUUUUUAUACUGAAGCAGUCUUUUUUCUUUUUUAAAUUAAAAAAAAACCCCUGAUUUGUAGGUAUUUUCUAUGAAAAUGAUAGUAACCUUUUGCAGCUGGGGGAUUGCUUUAUUUAUGAAUUAUUUCAGAUGCACACAAAUGAGCCUACCAUCAGAGUUUUAAAACCAUUUUAUAUCCUGAGUAAACAAGCAUUGAAGACGCAGACUUCAGCUUGGUACAAUACAGACUUCUGAGAAUCAGAGUUAGCGAGCCAUGGAGCAGACACUUUCAGGAGGCAGACACUGGAAGGUGGUGUUAUGUUCUGUCCACUGCAGGCCAUGCACUGGCUCUGUCGCUGCGGUCAUCCAGGACAAACCCAAAGACAAAAAGCAAAAUUACAGAUCCCGAGAUUAACUCUGUCCAGGACAUUCAGGAAGGGCAGCUCCUGAGAGGC
Molecule: non-coding RNA, 1106 nt
Organism: Manis javanica (Malayan pangolin)
Lineage: Eukaryota; Metazoa; Chordata; Mammalia; Pholidota; Manidae
Source: RefSeq, a predicted model, not a curated record